GAUGAAGAACGCAGCGAAAUGCGAUAAGUAAUGUGAAUUGCAGAAUUCCGUGAAUCAUCGAAUCUUUGAACGCACAUUGCGCCCUUUGGUAUUCCAAAGGGCAUGCCUGUUCGAGCGUCAUUUGUACCCUCAAGCUUUGCUUGGUGUUGGCGUCUUGUCUCUAGCUUUGCUGGAGACUCGCCUUAAAGUAAUUGGCAGCCGGCCUACUGGUUUCGGAGCGCAGCACAAGUCGCACUCUCUAUCAGCAAAGGUCUAGCAUCCAUUAAGCCUUUUUUUCAACUUUUGACCUCGGAUCAGGUAGGGAUACCCGCUGAACUUAAGCAUAUCAAAGCGGAGGA
Molecule: unclassified non-coding RNA, 338 nt
Filed under: soil metagenome
Description: partial contains 5.8S ribosomal RNA, internal transcribed spacer 2, and large subunit ribosomal RNA
Rfam family: 5.8S ribosomal RNA (bases 1-120)
Source: RNAcentral